This 493-nucleotide ribosomal RNA is filed under the name uncultured bacterium. RNAcentral describes it as "partial 16S ribosomal RNA". It matches the Rfam family "Bacterial small subunit ribosomal RNA", at positions 29 to 508 of the family's 1533-position model. The record is from RNAcentral.
AGUGAACGCUGGCGGUAGGCCUAACACAUGCAAGUCGAACGGCAGCACAGUAAGAGCUUGCUCUUACGGGUGGCGAGUGGCGGACGGGUGAGGAAUACAUCGGAAUCUACUUUUUCGUGGGGGAUAACGUAGGGAAACUUACGCUAAUACCGCAUACGACCUACGGGUGAAAGCAGGGGAUCUUCGGACCUUGCGCGAUUGAAUGAGCCGAUGUCGGAUUAGCUAGUUGGCGGGGUAAAGGCCCAACAAGGCGACGAUCCGUAGCUGGUCUGAGAGGAUGAUCAGCCAAACUGGAACUGAGACACGGGCCAGAAUCCUACGGGAGGCAGCAGUGGGGAAUAUUGGACAAUGGGCGCAAGCCUGAUCCAGCCAUACCGCGUGGGUGAAGAAGGCCUUCGGGUUGGAAAGCCCUUUUGUUGGGAAAGAAAAGCAGCAGGUUAAUACCCCGCUGUUCUGACGGUACCCAAAGAAUAAGCACCGGCUAACUUCGUGC